AGUGAACGCUGGCGGUAGGCCUAACACAUGCAAGUCGAACGGCAGCACAGUAAGAGCUUGCUCUUACGGGUGGCGAGUGGCGGACGGGUGAGGAAUACAUCGGAAUCUACUUUUUCGUGGGGGAUAACGUAGGGAAACUUACGCUAAUACCGCAUACGACCUACGGGUGAAAGCAGGGGAUCUUCGGACCUUGCGCGAUUGAAUGAGCCGAUGUCGGAUUAGCUAGUUGGCGGGGUAAAGGCCCACCAAGGCGACGAUCCGUAGCUGGUCUGAGAGGAUGAUCAGCCAGAGUGGAAGAGGAACACGGGCCAGACUACUACGGGAGGCAGCAGUGGGGAAUGUUGGACAAUGGGCGCAAGCGUGAUACAGCCAUACGGCGUGAGUGAAGAAGGCCUUCGGGUUGUAAAGCUGCUUUGUUGGGAAAGAAAAGCAGCAGGUUAAUACCCCGCGGGUCUGACGGUACGCAAAGAAUAAGCACCGGCUAACUUCGUG
This 492-nucleotide ribosomal RNA is filed under the name uncultured bacterium. Its description in RNAcentral is "partial 16S ribosomal RNA". It matches the Rfam family "Bacterial small subunit ribosomal RNA", at positions 29 to 507 of the family's 1533-position model. The record is from RNAcentral.